This 335-nucleotide long non-coding RNA is filed under the name Gossypium raimondii (Peruvian cotton). Its description in RNAcentral is "long non-coding RNA (GRAI_LNC010961)". The record is from RNAcentral. Lineage: Eukaryota; Viridiplantae; Streptophyta; Magnoliopsida; Malvales; Malvaceae.
GUUAGCAAAAAUAUUCCUCCCUUGUGUUUGAGCACUCUCUUCUUCUUCAAUCAUUCCUUGUUUAAGCUCUCUCUCUUUUUCACUCACUUCAUUCACAUUUUCUUUUGUUUCUCUCUCGCUUUCCUUUUCGCCUUUUUCAUUUUCAUUUUCUUCUUUUUCACUUUUAUUUUUCCCUUCUCCUUUUUCUUUUUCCUCACUUGUUUUAACAACAAAAUUUUUCAGUUUGAUUUGGUCCUCAUGGACUUGUUUUGGAGUGAGCGGCACUAAGGUGACUUUCCUUCCUUGAUGCUUGAAAGAAUACCUAUUGGUACGACCAUCGUGGGUGACCUUUCGAU